RNAcentral lists this ribosomal RNA (475 nucleotides) under uncultured bacterium. Its description in RNAcentral is "partial 16S ribosomal RNA". It matches the Rfam family "Bacterial small subunit ribosomal RNA", at positions 28 to 508 of the family's 1533-position model. The record is from RNAcentral.
GAUGAACGCUAGCGGCAGGCCUAACACAUGCAAGUCGAGGGAGGAGCUUUCGGGCUUCGACCGGCGUACGGGUGCGUAACGCGUAUACAAUCUGCCUUUCACAUAGGGAUAGCCCGAAGAAAUUUGGAUUAAUACCUAAUGGUAUAUAGAGGUGGCAUCACCUUUAUAUUAAAGCUGAGGCGGUGAAAGAUGAGUAUGCGUUCUAUUAGCUAGUUGGAGAGGUAACGGCUCCCCAAGGCGACGAUAGAUAGGGGUUCUGAGAGGGAUAUCCCCCACACUGGUACUGAGAUACGGACCAGACUCCUACGGGAGGCAGCAGUGAGGAAUAUUGGACAAUGGUCGGAAGACUGAUCCAGCCAUGCCGCGUGCAGGAAGACGGCCUUAUGGGUUGUAAACUGCUUUUGCAGGGGAAGAAUAAGGACUACGCGUAGUUUGAUGACGGUACUCUGCGAAUAAGCAUCGGCUAACUCCGUGC